Molecule: ribosomal RNA, 379 nt
Filed under: uncultured bacterium
Lineage: Bacteria
Description: bacterial SSU rRNA
Rfam family: Bacterial small subunit ribosomal RNA
Source: RNAcentral
GACGAACGCUGGCGGCGUGCUUAACACAUGCAAGUCACGGGGGCCCAGCAAUGGGCAACCGGCGAACGGGUGCGUAACACGUGAGCGACCUGCCUUUCCGCGGGGGAUAGCCGGCCCAACGGCCGGGUAAUACCGCAUACGCUUUCUUUGGGGCAUCCCUUGGGAAGGAAACCUCCGGGGCGGGAAGAGGGGCUCGCGGCCUAUCAGCUAGUUGGCGGGGUAACGGCUCACCAAGGCGACGACGGGUAGCUGGUCUGAGAGGAUGGCCAGCCACAUUGGGACUGAGAUACGGCCCAGACUCCUACGGGAGGCAGCAGUGGGGAAUUGUUCGCAAUGGGCGCAAGCCUGACGACGCAACGCCGCGUGGAGGAUGAAGACC